GCUGGGUGCACAGUGUGCAGCACCCGUGACUACUUUCUACUUGUUGAUGGCAACUUCAGAUUUUCUGGGAACACACUGAAAAGUAACUGAACACUAUGUUAAUCAGUAAGCACAAAUGUGAAUUAUAAUAAUGACAAGUUUUCCAUGUCUAUCAAGAAAAGCACCACCCAAAGGACAUCCAGCCAACGGGAGGCUAGUGGUUGAAAACAGGCCAUUGAUGAAAGAGGACAUAGGAGGCUGACACAAAUUGUGUAGAGCAACAGACGGGUUACAGUUAGCAACAUUUGAAUGCCACAGGAUAUCUGAACGUCCUUACCAAUCAGAUGUAUGCCUUCAUGGCAGCAGUGUAUCUAUAUGCAAAUGUUUUUUCUCAGCAGGAUAAUGCCCCAUGCCACAAGGCUAGGAUUGUCCAGGAAUGGUUUCACAAACAUGACAGUGAAUUCAGCUUACUGCCCAGUCAUCAGAUCUCAAUCUAGUUCAGCAUCUGUGGGAUGAUAUUCAGAGUAGAGAUCCACUACCAGCCAACUUGACACAACUGUGGGAAGCAUUGGAGUCAACAUGGGCCAUCAUCCCUGUGGAACGCCUUCAACACCUUGUAGAGUCCAUGCCCCAACGAUAUGAGGCUGUUCUGAGGGCAAAAGGGGUGCAGCUCAAUAUUAGGAAGGUGUUCCUAAUGUUUUUUAGACUCAAUCUAUAUCACCUAAUAACACUGCAACAAUCAUGUUAAAUAUACAAUGGCCAGUUAUUAUUUAAAAUAAUAGUGUGCGUAUGUGUGUGUGCCCGACACCUAUCCCACUGUGGCAUCCCACUUGACACAGACGUCUAUUCAACGUCUAGUUCACAUUGGUUUAAUGUAAUUUAAUUGAAAUGUUGAUUCAGCCAGUGUGUGCCCAGUGGGAUUAAAGGUUAUUUUAACAAAUGAUUCCAGAGGCCCUUUUCCCUCCCCUUACGAUCCAUGACCUCACUUCCUCCAAACGGUCACAGAAAAAUAUCCCAAAAAGGAAAAAUAUCCCAUAAAAGAAAAAUAUCCCAGAAUAACCAGGUUACAGAGGAACAAUAAAACACAAAUCACACAAUGAGUUCUCAGUUGAAGUCUAUCUUUCCAUCCGUCAAGGCAAAUAUCAGAUCAUUUCAUAACUUCCCCUUCAAAUUGUUUCAACUCAUGGUAGCCCCGCCAGUUAGAAUGACUCCAGAGAUUUCCUGUUCACAUACAACCUGUUUACUGGGGUCUUUUUCCACACUAGGUCAUCAUUGACUUUGGGAUUUCUAUCCCUUUCCAUUGACGCUGCUGCAUGCAUUCGAUGGAACACGAACAUUUGCUUUCUCAGCGAGGGAAACCUUUCCAUUGAAAUCUCAAAUCUGUAUUGCCUAUUCGUAUCAUAAUCACAUUAGGGGCUGUGUGAGCCUGGAAUAAGAGAGAAGUAAAAUCUUCACAGUGCCAAGUAGCAAAGUUGAGCUAAAGAAGCUGGAGUGUGGAAUCACACAAACUAAACCCCCUGAGGGACAGAGCGAGAUACUCACAGCAAGAGAGAGAGAGAGGGAGAGAGAGAGAGAGAGAGAGAGACAGAGAGAGAGAGCUGCUCGACUCUGCUCUGCACAGUGCUGUUGGGGUUGAUAAAGCAGUAGGACUGAUGCAGUGCCUUGACCUCCAGCUCCAUCUUCAGCACCAGUACAGAGAAAGAGACAGAGAGAUGCUAGCUGGUAUCUAGCUGCUAAAGCACCUGCAUCAAUGGAUGGGCUGACUGCACAGCCCUGACUCAUCUUCGGCUACAUGUCUAACCGAAGGAAGUCUUCGAUUCCCAUGAAGACACUAAUGGAGCGGAGCAGCGCUCGCUGCUGGGAAUGGCAAAUCUCCCACUGCAGCAGAAGUCUACACAGGAUCAGCUUGCUCCUAUCAGCCCUUCAGUGGAUCUGGAACUUUCGACUUCAAUGUAAACUCUACAAAAGCAGUGUUGUAAUCUACAACUAAUGAAAUGACGUGCUAUUAGUGAAUUAGCUACCUAAUUAACCAACUAACUUACCAGAUGUAUUUGAAAGAUAAUUCUCCAGACAUAAGUAACAACAGUUCACAGUUCACUGGACCCAAGUCAGAGAGUAGACUUUCAGUCUCUCAGAUAUGAUCCCUAGAGAUGCAACAGAGAGCCAAGAGUUCAAUGGCAACCACUGUUUUGAGUGAGGAGCAGAGGCCAGAAAGAGUGAGAGAGAGAGAGAGAGAGAGAGAGGGUAGAUACAAAGCGAGAGAGAGGGAGAAAAAAUGAAAAGAUUCCGAGGAGACGACUGAAGAUGAAAUGGGGAGAUAAAAGAGAAGUGAAUCAGAGAUGCAUUCAUUCAUUCAUCAAAUGUUAGGGACCCCCACCCACGGACCCUCCCACAGAAUAAAUGUUCUGUUCCAGGGAGGAAGCCUGAUGAUGAAUCCGGGAGGAGGAGAGCACAGCACAGCACAGAUAACUCAUAGCUGCUCUCUCUGCUCCUACACAGAACAAAAUCAAGAAUCUCCCGCGGAAACCCACUUUUUCGUGUUCUUAUCACCGAGAGCGCAAAGGGGAAAUGAUCUGAUAAGACUUUUGAAGUUAAACAGCGGUCUAUAGUACAACAUAAUGCUUAAUUAAAAUGAAAGUAGCAGCGUGGGAGAUGACACGCAGCAGGCUCUAAUAGACACCCGCAGGUUAAUUAAAACUAGUCAUGUCUACACGGUGCUUUGUGCUAGACUGUAUUAAUCAUAGAUGUGACUAGUAUCGCUACGAAGCCUAUCAAUCACAGCGGACUCUAUUAUGGUGUGUGCCGUUGACUUCGAGGAUCAUAAGACCAGCCAGUUUGACCUCACUGAUAAAACAUGAUUAGAAUGAAAGACGUGAUAGACUGUAUAUCUGAUGCCCCUAAGAGCAUUGUCAUACAUCAGAUAACUUUUGUCUGUACAUCGUCAGUCAAGGGACUAUAGCAUUGCGUAGGGCUAUUGCCACCUGUCGGAAGACAAUGCCUUAAGAUGGCAUUUACAUGACCAAACAGCUCACUAAUAGUCUACCAGGAUGGAAGAGGCAAAGCCUCCACUGCUCUUGGAAGAGUGAUCCACUAGAAGCAAUAGAUACUUCUCAAACUCAGGGCACUUCUGCUACACAAAUCCAGUUCACUGUAAGUAUCCCAGAAAAACAAAAUUGGUUCUGUGAAGUUCCUAGAAUAUUCGUUAGGUCUCAGCAAAUGUUCUCAUAACACGAAAAGUGUCCAGUUGUGCUGAUAAUUAUGGAAAGUUUGAACGUUCCCAGAACACAUUUUUUAAGGUUCCUAGAAUGUUUCUUUCGGUUCUGGGAACAUUGUGGAGAUAUGAGCGAUAGGUUCCCAAAACACUAAAACUGUCCAGUUGUGCUGACAUUCAGAUAAUGUUUCUAUCAGGGUGCAUAAAACAUUCCAUUGAUGUUGCAAUAAUGUUGACAGAAUAGCCUUUCUGAGUUCUUUAAAGGUCUCCAGGCCUCCAGUGCGCCUCCAGGGUCCAGUACUCCCUGUUCCUGCUCCUUGCACUCUCCCUGAGGUGCAUGUCCCCAGCCUGGUACCACCAGUGCCGGCACCACACACCAGGCCUACAGUGUGCAUCGCCAGUCCAGAGCGUCCGGCGACAGUACCCAGUCCAGAGCGUCCGGCGACAGUACCCAGUCCAGAGCGUCUCCAGGGACAAUCCCCAGCCCCGGGUCUCCAUCGAGGGUCCCCAGCCCGGGGUCUCCAGUGACGGUCCCCAGCCCGGGGUCUCCAGCGACCAUCCCCAGCCCCGGGUCUCCAUCGAGGGUCCCCACCCAUCAAUGUAAAGACGCCCUGACCUUAGUUAUCUUUGUUUUUCUUUAUUAUUUGGUUAGGUCAGGGUGUGACAAGGGUGGUGUGUUUAGUUAUUGUAUUGUCUAGGGGUUUAUGUAUGUCUAGGGGUUUCUAGUCUACGGGUUUAUAUCUCUAUGGUUGCCUAGAUUGGUUCUCAAUCAGAGGCAGCUGUUUAUCAUUGUCUCUGAUUGGGAACCAUAUUUAGGUAGCCAUAUUCCUUGGUUUAUCUGUGGGUUAUUGUCUAUGUGUAGUUGCCUGUGUCAGCACUCAGUGUAUAUAGCGUCCCGUUCGUGUUGUUAUUUUGUAAGUUCGUUUAGUGUUUCUUUGUUUUAUUAAAAGAAGAAUGUAUUCAAAUCAUGCUGCGCUUUGGUCUCCACUAUACGACGAAUGUGACAGCAACACUUCCUUUGGCCGCCUUUCCUUCCAGUUCUCUGCUGCCAAUGACUGGAACUAAUAGCAAAAAUCACUGAAGCUGGAGUCUUAUAUCUCCCUCUCUAACUUUAAGCAUCAGCUGUCAGAGCAGCUUACCGAUCACUGUACCUGUACACAGCCAAUCUGUAAAUAGCACAUCAACUACCUCAUCCCCAUAUUUUUUGUCAUCCUCUUUCUCUUUUGCACCCCAGUAUCUCCACUUGCUCAUCAUCAUCUGCACAUCUAUCUCUCCAGUGUUAAUGCUAAAUAGUAAUUAUUUCUCCUCAAUGGCCAAUUCGCACACACUAUACAUAGAUUUUUAUUUUGUGUUAUUGACUAUACGUUUGUUUAUGUGUAACUCUGUGUUGUUGUUUGUGUCACACUGCUUUGCUUUAUCUUGGCCAGGUCGCAGUUAUAAAUGAGAACUUGUUCUCAAUUGGCCAACCUGGUUAAAUAAAGGUGUUCUCAACUGGCCUACCUGGUUAAAUAAAGGUGAAAUAAAACAAUAUGUUGAUAAUCUGUACAUGUAGGGUUUGAACCUGCAAGGUUUGGUACCCAAGCCAAGUAAUUCAUUUUUAAACAAUACAAACAAACACAUACAAAGCACAACAUACAGAGGCACACAAACAUCCACAACAACACCCCUGCUCAGACUCACCUGCUCACACCCCCAUCUGCAGCGCCCCCACAUCGCUCUCUGCCACAUGCCCUCAACCUGUACCAUUUUGUUUCCCUCAGUCGCCCACGAAUUUACACCAUUUAGAUAAUAAAGCAUUUUACCUUUGUUUGGUUUGGUUGAUUUCCAGUUUUUAAUUAAGUAUAUGUUUAAAAAAAAAGAUGAUUGAUGAGAAAUUGUUGGCCAACCCAUUGCGUAUUUCACUGCCCCUCAUAUGCCGUGUCUUGAAAUAUGCAGACAUACGGAUUAAAAGUACAUUUACAUUGUAAUACUUCAAUCAGGAAUUGCAUGCUUCCUUUUAGCUUUCCAAGACAUAACAAACCCAGGGAUAUACUGGUAACAGGGUUCACUUCACCCAUUCUCUUGAUAGGCUGCAUACUUCUGGGCCCAUGUUUACAAGGUAUUCAAGACUAUGAGCCUGAUCUAGGUUCAAUUUUGCUUUUCAGAUCACAUCAAGUGUCUUAAUCUAGGAAUGAUAUAGGGUGUGCUUUUUAAAGUCAAACAGUACAUUUUUACACAAUGUUUUAUUUCUUUACAGUUUGUCUGAAUUCUGCAUUUCAGACUGCAUUUAGGGCUUGAUUCUAACAGAUCCGCUUUAGCCAACAUUCACAUAGAUGUGGUUUAGCCAACAUUCACAUAGAUGUGGUUUAGCC
Long non-coding RNA from Oncorhynchus tshawytscha (Chinook salmon), 5541 nucleotides. Lineage: Eukaryota; Metazoa; Chordata; Actinopteri; Salmoniformes; Salmonidae. The record is from Ensembl.